RNAcentral lists this ribosomal RNA (508 nucleotides) under uncultured bacterium. Its description in RNAcentral is "partial 16S ribosomal RNA". It matches the Rfam family "Bacterial small subunit ribosomal RNA", at positions 28 to 523 of the family's 1533-position model. The record is from RNAcentral.
GAUGAACGCUAGCUACAGGCUUAACACAUGCAAGUCGAGGGGAAACGAUAUUGGAAGCUUGCUUCCGAUAGGCGUCGACCGGCGCACGGGUGAGUAACGCGUAUCCAACCUGCCCAUCACUUGGGGAUAACCUUGCGAAAGUAAGACUAAUACCCAAUGAUAUCCGUCGAAGACAUAUGAAGUGGAUUAAAGAUUCAUCGGUGAUGGAUGGGGAUGCGUCUGAUUAGCUUGUUGGCGGGGUAACGGCCCACCAAGGCGACGAUCAGUAGGGGUUCUGAGAGGAAGGUCCCCCACAUUGGAACUGAGACACGGACCAAACUCCUACGGGAGGCAGCAGUGAGGAAUAUUGGUCAAUGGACGAGAGUCUGAACAAGCCAAGUAGCGUGCAGGUUGACGGCCCUAUGGGUUGUAAACUGCUUUUAUAAGGGAAUAAAGUGAGUCUCGUGAGACUUUUUGCAUGUACCUUAUGAAUAAGGACCGGCUAAUUCCGUGCCAGCCGCCGCCGUAA